UGGCCCCACCAUGAUAGGGUGUGCUGUCUAUAGUUUAGAAUUUAAAUUCUUCAGAAAUAUUUUUGUACAAGUUAACCACUCUGAGUUUAGUAUAUCCGGUAAUCCUUUUUGGUACAAGUUAACUACAACGUAUAUCUGGUCAAUCACUCACUUCCUGUCAGCCUUACUGACCAGUCCGGUCUCACUUUGUCUAUCGGCUUCAAUCUUGUUAGAUGCGUGCCUCGAGCCACUAAGUAAGUCUUUUUUAUUGAAGUUAUUGCUUAAAUCUGUCAGUAUUUAAUUGUAUUUUUGAAUUUUAGUUACAGAUGACAAUUUUAUUAUGCAGAUAAAACAUUCUCAAAAGUAUGGCACGCCAUUAUGGUCUUUAAAGUAAUUUACAUAUUUUUUCUAUGUAUGAAGUAAGGUUCUAUAUUUUCCUAUUUAGUAAUUUGUUAUUUCUAUUUGUUGUAGUUUUUUACCAAUAUUAUUCACGACGGCAACGUUUUCCACACAAAAUAAACUAUGAAACCCGUGUGACUUUUGUUUGCGUUGUGCGUUGUGCAAGGUUAGCUAUCUGCCUGCACCAGGCAGAAUAGUAAAAAAUUAGUGAAUUCGUUUGGCAUGUCUGCUGAGGAUCGACGGAUACGGAAACUCACACCCAAAGGCCUCGUCAUGUUCAACGAGCAGUGUGAAAAACUGAAAAGAAAAACCGAUGAAACCUGGGCGGAAGUGGAGGAUGCUCUUGUAACAUCUGGAACAUGCGCAAAGGACUUCCACAAAAUAAGAGAAGUAGAAUGUUUAAUUUCUGUGAAAUUCAAAGAUUUCUGUAUCGCUAGUGAAGACUAUAAGAAAUAUCUACUUUCUCAAAAUACAGAGGAGGCGGUCAACUUGUUAAAUGAAUUAGAAGUUUCAAUGAACAAAUGUUUUUCAAUUGUAAAAAGAACAAGUGAUGAUUUGAAGGAAACCAAAUUUGAACUCCUUGAAACACUAAGUCAUGUGUCGUCUAAUGUAUCAAGUUUUCAAAGAGCUAAAGCGCAAGCUGAAAGGGCGAAACUAGAACUGAUCAAGAGAGAAGGUGAGCUUUUAAAACAAAAAACUGAUAUCGAAGCAAAAAUUAGUAUCGUCAGACAGGAGAAAGAAAUCAUCUCAGCAGAAGCGGACUUCACAGAAGAAGAAAAGAUUGAUCUUCCGAUCUACUCAAGGGAACAGAUGACGAGUGCGUUUAUCCUCAAACACGACCAUAACCCAUCAAAUACCGAGGAUGGCCACAUUCAACAAAAUCAACCAUAUUUUGAACAGAAUCCACCAAUCAGUGUUCAACAUCCAGAGGCGGAUGACCGACAUCCGGGAUAUCUAAAUGCAGUUAAUCAAGGUUGUGUUCCUUCAAUUCCAAUUCAUCAAAUGCAUCAAUUGUUUGCGCCUUCUAAUUCAGUGAAUCCAGUUUGUUCUACCUCGAUUUCAGUGCCUCAAGUUUGUGCUUCUCAAAAUUCAGUGUCUCAAGUGAAUGUCCCUUUAAAUUCAGUGUCUCAAGUGAAUGUCCCUUUAAAUUCAGUGUGUCAAGUGAGUGUUCCUUCAAAUUCAGUGCCUCAGAUGCGUGUUCCAAAUUCAGUUGAUCAACGGAGUGCUCCAUUGAAUGCAGCUUCUCAAGUGUUCGUUCCCUCGAAUUCAAUGCGUCAAGUUUGUGUUACUACAAAUUCAUUGCCUCAUGUAAUUACCGCUCCAAAUCUAGUACCACCACGGACCGACAACACUUCGACAAUGGCCGACUUUUCAAAGUUUUUGCUACGCAAGGAUUUUAUACUCACUAGAUUCACCAACUUUGAUGAUCGUCCAGAAAAUUUCAAUUCUUGGAGUUCUUCAUUCCGGAGUGUUACACUAGAACUUGGUGUCACAGAGUUUGAGGAAAUGGAUUUACUUGUAAAAUGGUUGGGUCCAGAGUCCUCAAAGUUUGCACGCACACUGCGCUCCGCAAACACCCACAAUCCUAGCCUAGGUGUAAAGCGUAUUUGGGAUAGACUGAACGAUAAAUAUGGGAGACCUGAGAUGGUGGAACAUGCUCUAAAACAGAAACUACACUCGUUUCCAACCCUCACAAAUAAAGAUCAUGCCAAAUUGUAUGAUCUCGUGGACAUUCUCACCGAAAUUGAAUCGGCGAUGACUAAUCCAAAAUACGAAAUUUGUCUGAGCUACUUCAAUUCAUCUACUGGAGUACUACCCAUAGUUGCCAAACUACCCAUAUCUCUACAAGACAAGUGGACCUCUCAAGCAGCUGGAUAUAAAAAACGGAAUGAUGUAGCAUUCCCUCCAUUUUCCUUUUUUGUCGAGUUCAUCCGUGAAAUGUGUGAAAUCCGUAACGAUCCUGGACUUGUAUGUCAACCGUCCACAAACACAAACAUGGCAUACAGCAAACCUAGACCUACUGGCGCAGUCACUUCUCGUAAAGUUGAAAUUGUAUCAUCAACUCCGUCAACACGUUGUCCCAUACACAAUGCUGGACAUUCUUUGAACGAAUGCCGUGGCUUCAAAAGAAAAUCACUACGUGAGCGUCAAAACAUUCUACGUGAUAAGAAAUUAUGUUUCCGAUGUUGUGCCUCACAAAGUCAUGUAUCCAAAAAUUGUACAGCGGACAUUAAAUGUGAUAUUUGUGAUAAUCCUUAUCAUGUCACAGCGAUGCACAUUGAUCGUCGUCCUUCAAACCCCGAAUCCCCUACACCAGUCUCAACAGCGAAAACUGCCUUAGGCAAUGCCAGGGAGUAUGAAGAAGGAAAACAUGGGAGUCGUUCUUGCGGGAAGAUCGUUUUAGUGGACGUGUUUUGUCAAUCAAAUCCUGCGAAAGUUAUCCGUGUUUAUGCGACAAUCGAUGACCAGAGCAACCGGACGUUGGUGUCCCCUUAUCUGAUAGAUCGACUCGGAGUUACAGGAGAAUGUAAACCCUACACUCUUACGUCAUGCUUCGGUGUAACGACAGUCGCUGGACGCCGUGUGAACGGAUUAUGUGUCAAAGCCUUGGAUGGUACAACUACAUUCAACUUACCGGAAGUCAUUGAAUGUGAUUCUAUUCCUAGUGAGCAUCUUGAAAUACCUACUCCCAAAGUCGCUCAAUCACAACCGCAUCUACAAUGCAUUGCACCUUUCAUACCACCCCUAGAUCGCAAUGUGAAUGUUGAACUGCUCAUAGGACGUGACUUACCCGAUGUACAUCAUGUGCGCGACCAAAUUACUGGCAGCCAAGGUCAACCCUUUGCUCAACGUCUUCCAAUAGGAUGGGUCGUCAUUGGUGAAAUUUGUAUUGGUAAAGUUCAUCCUCCAAAGGAAGUGAAUGUAAACAAAACGCAUAUUCUUAAUGACGGAAGGUGUACCACCUUUCCAGUGUGUCACAACAAUAUCAAUGUCAAGGACAAUGAUGAUGACAUAUUCAUACGAACACCGUUUGACAACAAGAUUGGACCUUCUGUUGAGGACCGCAAGUUUGUAGCUCUUAUGGACGCAGAGUUCCACAAAGACACUGACGGUUUUUGGUGCGCACCAUUACCUUUCAAGGAGUCAAAACCAGUGAUACCUAACAAUUAUUCACAGGCCUGGAAACGUGCUUUGAUCCUCAACACAAGUUUAAAGAAAGAUCAUCACAAACGACAACACUUCUUAGCAUUCAUGUCAAAAGUCUUAGCUAGUGGGGCAGCAGAAGUUGCUCCUUCCGACAUACCUGGGGAAUGCUGGUGUUUACCCCUUUUUGGGGUGUACAAUUCGAAAAAACCGGAUCAAAUCCGAGGAGUAUUCGACUCAUCGGCUGUGUUUCAAGACGUUUCAUUGAACAGUGUGUUAAUGUCUGGACCAGACUUAACAAACAACCUUGUUGGAAUCCUCAUGCGUUUCCGUGAAAAUGCAAUUGCUAUCAGUGGUGACAUUCAGCAAAUGUUUUAUGCAUUUCGUGAUCAUGAGGAUCAUCGUGAUUACCUCAGAUUCUUUUGGUACGAGGAUAACAACUUUGAAAAACCUUUAAUACAAUACCGAAUGAAAGCUCACGUUUUCGGUAACACACCAUCUCCAGCUGUUGCCACCUAUGGACUUCGAAAAGCAUCAUCUGUUGGUGACGAUGAUGUUCGUAAAUUUGUUUACAACAACUUUUACGUCGAUGAUGGACUGACGUCGCUUGCUACAGAAUCAGAAGCAAUCAACCUGAUGAGAAAAACACAAGCAACACUGAAAAACGACGGAAACAUUCGAUGUUCAAUCUUACUGGAUUCUAAGCACACAAGAAUUACCCAUGAAGUCCUUAGCACGUUUAUGGCUGAAGCGACAGCGAUAGUCAACGCCCGUCCACUGGUACCUGUAUCCACCGACCCUGAAGCACCUUGCGUUUUGUCUCCAGCUGUUUUACUUACUCAAAAAACCGUUGAUUCAAACGAGGAUUUUAAAAAUCUCAGUGUCAGCGAAGUUUAUAACAUUCAAUGGAAAUUUGUUCAGUCUCUAGCGGAGAAAUUUUGGUGUCGUUGGAAAAAUGAAUACCUGCAGAGUCUACAAGUGCGACGAAAAUGGAAAGACACUCGAGAUAACAUCCAAGUUGGUGAUGUCGUUCUUUUGAAGGACCGUGAUGCACAUCGCAACCAUUGGCCGACAGGACUUGUUGAAAGAGUGUUUCCUAGCAAAGAUGGACUUGUGCGCAAACUUGAAGUUCGCGUUAUCAAAGAUGGACAGUCGCGUAUAUAUGUGCGUCCGAUUUCUGAAAUUAUAUUUUUGUGUCAUUCCAUUUAAUGCUUAUUGUGUUGUGACAAUUUACAAAAACAGUUUCAUGAACAACUUUUUGUGAACAGAGUACGGUUUAUGCAUUUAAGUGAUAUUUUCAUAUCAGACGGGGAGUGUGCUGUCUAUAGUUUAGAAUUUAAAUUCUUCAGAAAUAUUUUUGUACAAGUUAACCACUCUGAGUUUAGUAUAUCCGGUAAUCCUUUUUGGUACAAGUUAACUACAACGUAUAUCUGGUCAAUCACUCACUUCCUGUCAGCCUUACUGACCAGUCCGGUCUCACUUUGUCUAUCGGCUUCAAUCUUGUUAGAUGCGUGCCUCGAGCCACUAAUUUUUUACCAAUAUUAUUCACGACGGCAACGUUUUCCACACAAAAUAAACUAUGAAACCCGUGUGA
This is an RNA transcript of Magallana angulata, 5116 nucleotides long. RefSeq lists it as uncharacterized. Lineage: Eukaryota; Metazoa; Mollusca; Bivalvia; Ostreida; Ostreidae. The record is from RefSeq and is a predicted model, not a curated record. The transcript is spliced from 2 exons.